This 624-nucleotide ribosomal RNA is filed under the name uncultured bacterium. Its description in RNAcentral is "bacterial SSU rRNA". It matches the Rfam family "Bacterial small subunit ribosomal RNA", at positions 53 to 672 of the family's 1533-position model. The record is from RNAcentral.
ACAUGCAAGUCGAACGGCAGCGGGCCCUUCGGGGUGCCGGCGAGUGGCGAACGGGUGAGUAAUGCAUCGGAACGUGCCCGGGAGUGGGGGAUAACCGGCCGAAAGGCUGGCUAAUACCGCAUGAACUCGGAAGAGCAAAGCGGGGGACCUUUGGGCCUCGCGCUCUCGGAGCGGCCGAUGUCCGAUUAGCUAGUUGGUGAGGUAAAGGCUCACCAAGGCGACGAUCGGUAGCGGGUCUGAGAGGACAAUCCGCCACACUGGGACUGAGACACGGCCCAGACUCCUACGGGAGGCAGCAGUGGGGAAUCUUGGACAAUGGGCGCAAGCCUGAUCCAGCAAUGCCGCGUGGGUGAAGAAGGCCUUCGGGUUGUAAAGCCCUUUCGGCGGGGAAGAAAUCGGCCGGGCGAAUAGUUCGGCUGGAUGACGGUACCCGCAGAAGAAGCACCGGCUAACUACGUGCCAGCAGCCGCGGUAAUACGUAGGGUGCGAGCGUUAAUCGGAAUUACUGGGCGUAAAGGGUGCGCAGGCGGCUGUGUAAGACCGGUGUGAAAUCCCCGGGCUCAACCUGGGAAUGGCGCUGGUGACUGCACAGCUCGAGUACGGUAGAGGGGGGUGGAAUUCCUG